RNAcentral lists this ribosomal RNA (388 nucleotides) under uncultured eukaryote. Its description in RNAcentral is "SSU rRNA". It matches the Rfam family "Eukaryotic small subunit ribosomal RNA", at positions 567 to 962 of the family's 1831-position model. The record is from RNAcentral.
CCAGCAGCCGCGGUAAUUCCAGCUCCAAUAGCGUAUAUUAAAGUUGUUGCAGUUAAAAAGCUCGUAGUUGGAUUUCUGGGCUGGACUGGGGGUCCACCGCAAGGUGCGUACUGCCGGGCCGGUUCAUCCUCUCGAAGACUGCGUGUGCUCUUAACUGAGUGUGCGGAGGAUUCGGGACCUUUACUUUGAAAAAAUUAGAGUGUUCAAAGCAGGCCUACGCUUGAAUACAUUAGCAUGGAAUAAUGGAAUAGGACUUUGGUUCUAUUUUGUUGGUUUCUAGGACUGAAGUAAUGAUUAAUAGGGAUAGUUGGGGGCAUUAGUAUUUAAUUGUCAGAGGUGAAAUUCUUAGAUUUAUGAAAGACUAACUACUGCGAAAGCAUUUGCCAAG